This 301-nucleotide ribosomal RNA is filed under the name uncultured bacterium. RNAcentral's name for it is "partial 16S ribosomal RNA". It matches the Rfam family "Bacterial small subunit ribosomal RNA", at positions 509 to 807 of the family's 1533-position model. The record is from RNAcentral.
CAGUCGCCACGGGAAUACGAAGGGUGCAAGCGUUACUCGGAAUUACUGGGCGUAAAGCGUGCGUAGGUGGUGGUUUAAGUCCGUUGUGAAAGCCCUGGGCUCAACCUGGGAAUUGCAGUGGAUACUGGGUCACUAGAGUGUGGUAGAGGAUAGUGGAAUUUCCGGUGUAGCAGUGAAAUGCGUAGAGAUCGGAAGGAACAUCUGUGGCGAAGGCGACUAUCUGGGCCAACACUGACACUGAGGCACGAAAGCGUGGGGAGCAAACAGGAUUAGAUACCCCUGUAGUCCCUGUCUCUUAUAC